UUCUUAUCAAGAGUGGCGGAAGGACUGGCCUAAUGAAGCCCGACAACCAGCAUGGAUGAUGUAUGGUGUCAAUUCCAGCAGAUGUAAUCUGAGCGAUAAGAA
RNAcentral lists this non-coding RNA (102 nucleotides) under Sporolactobacillus laevolacticus. RNAcentral's name for it is "SAM-I sequence". It matches the Rfam family "SAM riboswitch aptamer (S box leader)". From Rfam's summary of the family: The SAM riboswitch is found upstream of a number of genes which code for proteins involved in methionine or cysteine biosynthesis in Gram-positive bacteria. RNAcentral also lists the same sequence under 1 other name. Lineage: Bacteria; Bacillati; Bacillota; Bacilli; Caryophanales; Sporolactobacillaceae. The record is from RNAcentral.